GAAUGAAGGCAGCAUGGUAAUGUGCACAGAAAUUGAAUGGGUCAACAUGUCUGCCCCCUCUGAUUCCUCCUUUGAUGAGGGGGCCUGGUUUCGAUCCACAUCU
This is a non-coding RNA of Ricinus communis (castor bean), 103 nucleotides long. The record is from Rfam. NCBI's taxonomy places the organism in Eukaryota, Viridiplantae, Streptophyta, Magnoliopsida, Malpighiales, Euphorbiaceae.